Molecule: ribosomal RNA, 432 nt
Filed under: Citrobacter koseri
Lineage: Bacteria; Pseudomonadati; Pseudomonadota; Gammaproteobacteria; Enterobacterales; Enterobacteriaceae
Also listed under: 1 other name
Description: partial 23S ribosomal RNA
Rfam family: Bacterial large subunit ribosomal RNA
Source: RNAcentral
GCUUGACUGCGAGCGUGACGGCGCGAGCAGGUGCGAAAGCAGGUCAUAGUGAUCCGGUGGUUCUGAAUGGAAGGGCCAUCGCUCAACGGAUAAAAGGUACUCCGGGGAUAACAGGCUGAUACCGCCCAAGAGUUCAUAUCGACGGCGGUGUUUGGCACCUCGAUGUCGGCUCAUCACAUCCUGGGGCUGAAGUAGGUCCCAAGGGUAUGGCUGUUCGCCAUUUAAAGUGGUACGCGAGCUGGGUUUAGAACGUCGUGAGACAGUUCGGUCCCUAUCUGCCGUGGGCGCUGGAGAACUGAGGGGGGCUGCUCCUAGUACGAGAGGACCGGAGUGGACGCAUCACUGGUGUUCGGGUUGUCAUGCCAAUGGCACUGCCCGGUAGCUAAAUGCGGAAGAGAUAAGUGCUGAAAGCAUCUAAGCACGAAACUUGCC